RNAcentral lists this small nucleolar RNA (125 nucleotides) under Theobroma cacao (cacao). Its description in RNAcentral is "snoRNA SNORD14". It matches the Rfam family "Small nucleolar RNA SNORD14". From Rfam's summary of the family: U14 small nucleolar RNA (U14 snoRNA) is required for early cleavages of eukaryotic precursor rRNAs. In yeasts, this molecule possess a stem-loop region (known as the Y-domain) which is essential for function. Lineage: Eukaryota; Viridiplantae; Streptophyta; Magnoliopsida; Malvales; Malvaceae. RNAcentral also lists the same sequence under 1 other name. The record is from Rfam by way of RNAcentral.
AGUCGAUGAUGAUAAAUCCAAAGGCUUGUUUCUCAAGAACAUUCGCAGUGGCCGCCUAAGAGCUUUCGCCUUCGCCGGGCUUGAGAGCUUGUGCUGUUUCACUCCUUCCUUGGAUGUCUGAGACC